This 497-nucleotide ribosomal RNA is filed under the name uncultured bacterium. RNAcentral describes it as "partial 16S ribosomal RNA". It matches the Rfam family "Bacterial small subunit ribosomal RNA", at positions 28 to 507 of the family's 1533-position model. The record is from RNAcentral.
GAUGAACGCUGGCGGCGUGCCUAAUACAUGCAAGUCGAGCGAACAGACGAGGAGCUUGCUCCUCUGACGUUAGCGGCGGACGGGUGAGUAACACGUGGAUAACCUACCUAUAAGACUGGGAUAACUUCGGGAAACCGGAGCUAAUACCGGAUAAUAUAUUGAACCGCAUGGUUCAACAGUGAAAGACGGUUUUGCUGUCACUUAUAGAUGGAUCCGCGCCGCAUUAGCUAGUUGGUAGGGUAACGGCUUACCAAGGCAACGAUGCGUAGCCGAUCUGAGAGGGGGAGGAGUCAGACUGGAACUGAGACAAGGUCAAGACGCCGACGGGAGGCAGCAGUGGGGAAUAUUGGAAAAUGGGCGAAAGCCUGAUCAAGCAAUGCCGAGUGAGUGAAGAAGGUCUUAGGAUCGUAGAGCACUUUAAGUUGGGAGGAAGAGAAGUAAGUUAAUAACUUGGUGUUUGGACGUGACCAAAAGAAUAAGCAACGGCUAACUUCGUG